This 204-nucleotide unclassified non-coding RNA is filed under the name plant metagenome. Its description in RNAcentral is "partial contains small subunit ribosomal RNA, internal transcribed spacer 1, and 5.8S ribosomal RNA". The record is from RNAcentral.
UCUCCGUUGGUGAACCAGCGGAGGGAUCAUUACCGAGUUUACAACUCCCAAACCCAAUGUGAACUAUACCUGUCUACCGUUGCUUCGGCGGAUUCGCCCGCCGAGGGACCGGCAAAUAAACUCUUGUAUUUCUAUCUUUAGCAUGUCUGAGUGGAAUCAUAAACAAAUGAAUCAAAACUUUCAACAACGGAUCUCUUGGUUCUG